RNAcentral lists this ribosomal RNA (346 nucleotides) under uncultured bacterium. Its description in RNAcentral is "partial 16S ribosomal RNA". It matches the Rfam family "Bacterial small subunit ribosomal RNA", at positions 338 to 682 of the family's 1533-position model. The record is from RNAcentral.
CCUACGGGAGGCAGCAGUGAGGAAUAUUGGUCAAUGGCCGGAAGGCUGAACCAGCCAAGCCGCGUGAGGGAGGAAGGCGCAGAGCGUCGCAGACCGCUUUUGCCGGGGGACAAAAGGCCGGACUCGGCCGGUCCUGAGGGGACCCGGAGAAAAAGCAUCGGCUAACGCCGUGCCAGCAGCCGCGGUAAUACGGAGGAGGCGAGCGUUAUCCGGAGUGAUUGGGGUGAAAGGGUGCGCAGGCGGGCCUUUAAGCCGGCGGUGAAAUCGCGGGGCUCACCCCCGCCGAGCCGUCGGAACUGGGGGCCUUGCGUGCGGCGGAGGCAUGCGGAAUGCGCGGUGUAGCGGU